This 493-nucleotide ribosomal RNA is filed under the name uncultured bacterium. RNAcentral's name for it is "partial 16S ribosomal RNA". It matches the Rfam family "Bacterial small subunit ribosomal RNA", at positions 28 to 506 of the family's 1533-position model. The record is from RNAcentral.
GACGAACGCUGGCGGCGUGCUUAACACAUGCAAGUCGAACGGAAAGGCCUGCUUUCCCUUGUGGAUUGCGGGUACUCGAGUGGCGAACGGGUGAGUAACACGUGAGUGAUCUGCCCCCAACUUGGGUAUAAGCCUGGGAAACUGGGUCUAAUUCCCGAUAGGACUGCAGGGUGGUGCCCGUGGUGGAAAACGAUUUUCUAGUGGUUGGGGAUGAGCUCGCGGCCUAUCAGCUUGUUGGUGGGGUAAUGGCCUACCAAGGCGGCGACGGGUAGCCGGCCUGGGGGGGGGGCGGGGCAAAUUGGGACUGGGAUAGGGCCCAGACCCAGCGGGGGGGCAGCAGUGGGGAAUAUUGCACAAGGGGCGGAAGCCGGGUGCGGCGGCGCCGGGUGGGGGAGGGCGGCCUUGGGGUUGAAAACCCCUUGCGACCGGGGGGAAGCCACCUGGUUGGAAGGGUGGUGACGGUAGUGGUAGAAGAAGCACCGGCUAACUACGU